GCGGGUGUAGCUCAGUUGGAUAGAGCGCGUGGCUUCGGACCACGAGGCCGGGGGUUCGAGUCCUCCCGCCCGCACCA
Molecule: transfer RNA, 77 nt
Filed under: Candidatus Uhrbacteria bacterium
Lineage: Bacteria; Candidatus Uhriibacteriota
Description: tRNA-Arg
Rfam family: tRNA
About the family: Transfer RNA (tRNA) molecules are approximately 80 nucleotides in length. Their secondary structure includes four short double-helical elements and three loops (D, anti-codon, and T loops).
Source: RNAcentral